GCGCAUGCGCGGGGCCCUCCGCGCUCCCGCCCCUCCCUCAUGGCGGCCGCGAUGUUCCGGAGCCUGUUGGUCUCCGCGGCCCAGCAGCGGCCUCAGGCCCCGGGCCCGGGCGGGACCCCGCGGGAGCAGCCGCCCGCCGGCCCCGCCCCCGACACGCUGGAGGCGCAGUUCAGCUGCCCCAUCUGCCUGGAGGUGUAUCACCGGGCCGUGUGCAUCGCGGGCUGCGGCCACACAUUUUGCGGGGAAUGUUUGCAGCCAUGUCUCCAAGUGCCAUCUCCUCUUUGCCCGCUCUGCCGCAUGCCCUUUGACCCCAAAAAGGUGGAGAAGGCCUCCAAUGUGGAGAAGCAGUUGUCCUCCUAUAAGGCUCCCUGCAGAGGGUGCAGUAAGAAGGUGACCCUAGCGAAGAUGAGAUCCCACGUUUCAUCCUGCGCUAAGGUUCAAGAGCAGAUGGCCAACUGCCCAAAGUUCGUUCCAGUGGUCCCAACUUCCCAGCCCAUUCCCAGCAAUAUUCCAAACCGUUCCACUUUUGUCUGCCCUUACUGUGGAGCCCGGAACCUGGACCAGCAGGAGCUGGUCAAGCACUGCAUGGAGAACCACCGCAAUGACCCCAACAAAGUGGUGUGCCCAGUCUGUUCAGCGAUGCCCUGGGGGGACCCCAGCUACAAGAGCGCCAACUUCCUGCAGCAUCUCCUACACAGGCACAAGUUCUCCUAUGACACCUUUGUGGACUAUAAUAUCGAUGAAGAAGCAGCGUUGCAGGCUGCGUUGGCGCUCUCCCUCUCGGAGAACUGAAGGCGACUGAUGAGCAGCGGCGUGGAUCCUUUGCACAGGUCGCCUUUCCGCUAGGAGAGAUGCUGAUGUGCAGCCAUGCUGGAUCAGACAUGUGACCCAAGCGUGGGCGGGGCGGUACUCGGAGUUACUCACCAGGCAUUAACGGGGGUGUUGGUCAAUGGAUCAAGUCCACUUCUGAAAGAAAAUAAAACCUGUGAAUAAGCUACAAGCUGUGUGUGUCUCCGAGAUGCAAAGCCCUGUGAGUUGUACAGCAGAGGGGGUGUUCUCUGGGGCAACAGCCCCAUUCGCAUUACCAAGGAGCGGGCCAGUGAGCGUCUCGACUCCAGGCUGUUCGUUCGCUCCCGUCAGCAUGGACGGGCGGUUUGGCUGGGACUGUGAGGGGGCUGGUCUGGUCCUAGCUUGGCAGAGCUCAGUUCAGCAGUGGUCUGGUGUUUAGAAGUACAUGCAGUACAGCAUGACAAGCAGGCUGCCUUCCACUAUUAGUACUAACUUUAGGUCUCUUAAAGCUUUUGAUUGACCCAGGAGUGCUAAUGUGUGUGAAUAUGGCGCCGAUAGUGUGCAAAUCCAGCCUCGGGCUGUGGCGUGUAAACUGUAGUUCGGGACUCCGAUUCUAGUCACCUGUGGAGAAGGAAACCAAUGCACCUCAGCAGCCGUCCAGAGAUUGGUUGGGUCUCUGUGAUCCCGGGGCAAAGAUUCGGGAGCUCACCGGGAGUGACACCAGUAGGAUAAUUUAUAAUAAACGUCACGCCCCAGAUUUUUUCUUCUGUUACAACUGUAAUUUUGCAGCCUUAAAUCUUAUAAGGACAUGACUGCAAAACUCUCCAUUGGUGUGGAGUUACACCCAGCAUCUGGUGCUGGCCCCGUCUGAGACAGGGCCCUUUGUCUGAGAGCGUGGCAGGUCCUGAAAUCAGAUCGAUCUGUUUGUAACCAACCAUUACAUACUGGGGGUGGCUGAAACUUUGGCCUAGCGGCAUGCAUUCUUCCUGGGGGCCAGGAGGCUGUCUGGGCAUGCUCAGUUCCAUGCUCUUGCUGUAGUGUAGAAUCAGACCAGCUUAGUCUUUCUGCGCUGUGAAGAUCACUUCCUCGGACGCUGCAGGCGCCUCUCUGGGGAUAGGGCAGAUCUGCCCAAAGGUUUGGGCUGAGCCUGUUCUUAAGGGAGUUGAAAUUCAUUUUGGAAUAGUAUGGCUAGCAAAGAAUGCUGGGAAACAGAAUGACUGGAGCAGGGUGCGCUCUCCAUGGCAGGGAGACGUGUGUAUUCAGUUAACUUGUCCAGCCAGCGCGGUUAGGAAGGAAGUGCUGGGAGUUUUGACAGUGCAUUUCCCUGUCUAGUUUCUGCCCAGGUCUGUGACUUAAAUGUCAUUGGUGCCAUUGCAUUGACUGUCGUUCAGUGGGUCUGUGUAAUACUGGUUUAAACCACCUCCUUGUACUGACUUGAGCCCUGAUGUUCCCUACCUUAGAUGCCAAGCCUCAGACUUAUGCUGCACACAGCCCCUUUCUUCCCAGCCAAGGAGAACUGGCCACUUGUCAGUGGGCCAGUUCCCAUCCUAACUGACCUCUGGGAUCCCCAUUGCUGGAUCCUCCUUUCUGUAGGGACUGGACAUCCUACUCCACAGCACAAAACAAAGUUCCUGGCUGGUAUCCACCAGCCCCUCUGUUGCUGAGCUCUGGGGAAGAGCCCUGUGGGAGGCAGGGCAAAAUCCAUCUAGGACCAUUUCAUUUCCCGUCUGCUAAGAGACAUCCUGUAGCCUCCCUAGCUAGAAAGCCAAAACGGGUAAAUCACGUACAGUCCUGCUGAGCAAGCUGGAACCCAGCACCCCCUUUUCUAGGGAGCUUCUCUCCUCCAGUGCCCUGGGAGGGGCAGUCCUGCUUAGGAACACAACCCAGCAAUAGAUACCUUGUCCACUCGCAACCUGGUGUGAAAUGUGAAGGGGCAGGAUUCAUCAGGUGCUGCGAUUCGCUCAUCCCAUGGGUGCUUGGGUGACGCUGCACUUUCACAUUCAGGGUGUUUCAAGCCAGAAGAGGCCACUAGAACCUCUAGUCUGACCUAUGUAACGCAGGCCAUUAAACUUGUCCAAGCAUGAGGUGUUGGGUGGCUGGUGGCCAUGUGUUGACCUCUUGGAAGGGGACCUUUCCUCCAUCUAUCUCGCUGUUCUUGCUUUAGCCGUUUUGCUUUCUGGCUCUGUGCCUGGUUCCUGUCCCUUCCCAUCACAGUUCAAAUCGGUCUCAUCACUGGAUUGCUUUUUUGUUCUCUAUUUGCUCUUUUAUCCUGUGACCUUUGUUAUUUGCCACCUGACCUAUCUCGAGUCCUUCCAUCUGCAGCAGUGCAGGAAGCUAUCCUGUAACCCCACCCAAGGGAAGGAGCAUUGCAGCUUGCUGACCUUCCAGCUCUUGGUCUCCCUAUAUGGACACAUUCUGCUACUAAAGUCCCUGGCUUAUGGUGGUCUAAUCUCUAGCACACUGGCUGAAGGCCAUCCCUUGUGGAGGGAUCGCCUCGUUUUCUUAGGUGGGAUCUCCAUCUCCAAACCCUUAUUUAUCACCCUUCGCCCUUUGCUCUAGCACGCACGGUUAAACCUUUCUCCAGAAGAGCUGAGUGGCUCUGCUUGCCGCUGGUUUUGCUCACUGACUCCUUUUUCCUUCGUUACAAAGCAGCUGCCACCUCCCAGCAUGCUAGAACGCCACCUACUUUGCACCUCACUUUGAUAGUCUGGGACCAAUUGGCAGGCACCUAGCACUGGUGCAUUCCCGCUUAGGGAUGGGGUGCUGUGUUGGGUGAAAGUACGACUUCGCACUGAUGCCUGGGGACUCUCAGGGGGUGCAUAGCAGCUAGCUAAUCUCCUGGCGUUUGGGAGCUGGCUUGUGCAGACCCUCCUUUCAGCAUUGCUCUGGCUGCGUGAUACUCACCAUCUGGCACCGCACCGUCGCUGCGAGCAGGUCCCCGGCCAUGCCAAAUGGUCCUGGGGGUGAUAUUUUAAACAUCUCAGUAGCCGCUUCGCUCCAAGCUUGAAGCUUAGUUUGUAAGUGGGUUACCCAUCAACGUAACUGAAUGCAAUUGCCUACUACAAACCCAGGGACUGAUGGAAACUGCCCCCAAAUCACUGCCUUUGAAUGUAAGAUGAGAUCGGACAGGGAAACUCCACAGUACGGCGCUGUUAACCUUGCUUGUUUUGCUUCGCUUCGUUGGGAUGGGUUGGAGAAGGAGGUUUUGUCUGUCUAGCCUUAAAACCCAGCCAUCUGCCAGCAGGCUGUUUUGUCCUGGGUUUGAGUCUGUACUGCUGUGGGUGAACCGUAAAGAGGGCAGCGGAAAUAUAAUCCAGAGGGCUUUCCUUCUCCAAUGAGACGUCACAGACGUCGGAUCUCAUCUGUUCCCAUCUCUCUUCCAGCAGCGUUAAGCUGCAGAGCUUACGUUCCUUUCAAGUAUGUAAACUUUAAUAAACCUACCUAACUUUUCUACUUUUACUGUACUAUAGCGAAUGGGGUCCAGUUUGCCACUGGCUUUCAAGGCAUGGGGAGUGGGGAGGGUGUCUCUGAGUCUUGUCUUAAUGUCAAUUGUGUCGAACAGAAAAUGAGUUUUGGCAGGAGGAAUAUUUUACUUAUGGCUUGAGGGUGGAUGUGCUUGAUCUCUGUUCAAAGUGGUGGCGCAGCACUGUGAAACGCAAGCCUCGCGCUGGGACCAGGAAUGGCAAUGAGUUAGCCAGUGUGAUGAGGAAGCAUCAGAACCCAGAAACCUUGUUAACUUUCUCUCGCCCAGUCUCACCCCAACCUGCCCACUGACACAUUGCCUUAACGUCUGUUCCUAGCAUGGAGUUUGUUCCUGUCUUUGUAUUGUUUGCUGUCUUGUUAUAACAAGCAGAAUCCUCUAGGGGGAGCAACAAUUACACACUUGCUAGGGGAAGCCUGUCUAGUGUACAUCUUAAGUGCUGCAUUUGUCAUUACACUUGAGAUGCCGUUGGAAAAAGCCGAAGCCAUGCGCCUCUUACAAUGAAAUGUGUAAAUGUCUCUGGAAUGUCUGCGGUCAUGCAAGAAAUAUUCAUGUGCUAAUGUAGAAGUCUUGUUUGCCAUAGGUUCAAUUGCACUUUUGAGGCAGCAGGGAUUAGUGGUUAGAGCAGGGACCUGCAUGCCAAGACGCUCGAAUCUGUCUCUACUACUCCACUCACUAGCUGGGUGACCUGGGGCAAGUCGCUUCAUCUUUGUGCCUCAGUUUCCCUACCUGAGCAAUACCCACUUGAGGGAUUAUUUGGGGGGGAUGCCCACCUCUGUAAAGUGCUAGGGGGAUCCUCGUAUGAAAGGUGCUAUAGAAAUGGGAAAUGUCACCUUUCAAAAUCAGCUGUGUGUCAGCAAGCACAGUUCAUUUUUCAGCUGUAUAAUCGUUCAGAUCUCUUUACCUAAGCAAUGUGGUGAUGUUUGUAAAUCAUUCACUCUGUGCUCAAAAUAGCUGUUCGUUUCCAGCUGGCUAAUCUGGACUUGCUAAACGAGGGAACUGUGCUGGAGCAAGGCCGUCUUUCAAUGCGUGCUGGUGUGCAGUAGACUAUGUCGAUAUUUCCAGGUAAAAUACACAGCGAUACUAUUGAGUACAUGAAUGUCAGUGGCAUGUGGCUCUCAGACAUGCAGCGCACCGCACUGCAGCCGGCAAUAGAAAAGGGGUUUUUCAUAUGGGAUAGCUUCAUGGAUGACUUUGGGUUUAUGAGGCACCUUUCAUACUACAGGUGUCCUAAAGCUCUUCCCACUGAAGUGAGUGAAACAUUGGCAGGUGCUGCAGCUGGUCUGCCCUCAGCAGUUGCCCAAAUGUUGAGGGAGAAUGCUGGCCAGGAUUUUGGAGUUGUGGAAAAACUCUUCAAAGCAGAUGGGCCCUUGAUGGAAUGUCUCAGCCAAAGGUUGCUAACUGAGCACAUCAAGUCACCGUGUGUUGUUCGGCUGAAAUAGCAGCUGCCGCUUGGGAAAAUCUCCAGGGUGGGUGACUGAGGAACUCCCUGUGCAAGCACAGCGUGUCUCCGCUAGGACUCGGUGGAUCAGUACAACGCUCAGGAGCCCAGCCCUUAAAAGGCCUGUGUUUAAGUUCACUCAUUCCCAUUCUGGGUCCAUCUUAACCUUUAAACACUGAUCCGUACCGAGUCUGUUUGUUGUGAGUGUCUUCGCUUCUCACCCAAAAUCCAGGCAGGGGAGGGAGCGGGUUGGCGUUCUUCAACCACGCUGAGACCUAGGAGGUGGCUGCCUUCUAGUCCAGAAGCCAUCCUCUCCCAGGAUUGCUUCGUGUCCGACUGGCGCUUGAGAGAACUUUCAGCAGUGCCAUUGACUUUUGAUGGGACUCAGGCGCUCUUGAAAACUUUGUUCCACGUUCCUAGUUUGAAGAGUGCAAUUUCGGGGCUUAACCAAGGUACUUCCCUGCACCCUGUUAUCCGAGUUUUAGGCUCACACUCUAGUAAUACAGAAUUUUUUCGCCUCAGUCUAAAUAGUAACAGAAAAUAUUGCAAAGCAUGUUUGCUCCUGAGUGGCUAGCUGUCCCUCCCCCACCCCCUCACCCCAAGGAACCUGCAGUCAUCCCUACAACACAUGAGCAAAGGGCAAACGCUUAGCAGAGACCAGCUGCUCGGAGAAGUUUCCUGAGUUGUGUGUUAGCCAUGUGGGGCCGCCUGGGAGUCAUGAACAAAACCAUAUCCUCAGUGAGCCAGGGGGCCUUUCUUCCUAGCCGGUCGCUGCUCUUUAACCCCAGGGACCGCUAACUGGAUUUCCUGAAGAUGAUGGGACCUCCUUGCAAUAUAUGCUCUCUCCAGGAAGAAAGGAGUUGAUAUACAACCUGGGAAGGGUCUGGGUUUCCUGUUUAUGCCAGUGCAGUAUCCGGAUCACUGCCCCUGGCCUGUACUGUUGGGUCCCGUGUAUAAAGAGCUCGUGCUGCUUUGUGGGCAAGUCUGUGCCACUUCUUAGCUCCUUCCAAAGGGGACUUUGCCCGGAAGAGGGGUAGGGGGUGGCAUCCUGAGCAGGUUGCUGGCAAAGACCCCUUUGUUGUAUAAAUAAUGAGUGGCAGCAUUUAUUGGCCCAAGCUUUGCCCUGGAGAUGGGGAAGGGGAAGGUGCAACAGACGCUAGAGAGGCAGCAUGGCUGUGUGGAUAGACUUCUGGGGCUGGGAGUUGAGGCCUGAGUUCCAUCCCUGGCUCUGCCACAGCCAUCCUGUAUGAUCUUCAACAAGCCACUGCUCCGUGCCUCAGUUUCCCCAGCUCUAUAGCGGGGGCAAUGAUACCUGCUUUUGUAAAGCACUUUAAGGCCUAUGGAUGAAAAGCCCCACAUAUGUGCUAAGUGGAUAUUUACUAUGCUCCCUUUGCAUCAGUUAUGUGUAAUAACAUAAAUGAAAGGGGUUUACACUCAGAAUUCCACGUGUCGCAGCAAAUCACAAGACUUCUUCCCCUUGAACUCCUGAUUCUGCUGGAGGUGUGGGACUGUCGGGCCCACGGUUCUGGGUGUAGGCAGAGGAGUCCCCCAUGUUGAGUGUUCUCUGUCGGGUUUGGCAUUGGUGACGGUCAUGCUGUUCAAUGUGGUGUUGUGACUAUUUUGCAUAUGAAUAGAACUUUUAACGAGACAUACUGUUUUUGAAGAAAAAUCAAUGAUGUAUUUGUAGCAAACCAUUUUUUCUCAAUAAAUGCAGUUUCAUCCA
Chrysemys picta bellii (western painted turtle) is the source of this 7434-nucleotide RNA transcript. It is a transcript of the gene named ring finger protein 166, with no coding region annotated. The record is from RefSeq and is a predicted model, not a curated record. NCBI's taxonomy places the organism in Eukaryota, Metazoa, Chordata, Testudines, Emydidae.